Molecule: long non-coding RNA, 966 nt
Organism: Oncorhynchus tshawytscha (Chinook salmon)
Lineage: Eukaryota; Metazoa; Chordata; Actinopteri; Salmoniformes; Salmonidae
Source: Ensembl
UAGUUGACUGGUCUCCUCUGUAGUUGAUUGGUCUCCUCUGUAGUUUACUGGUCUCCUCUGGUCUCUGUAGUUGACUGGUAUCCUCUGGUCUCUGUAGUUGACUGGUCUCCUCUGGUCUCCUCUGUAGUUGACUGGUCUCCUCUGGUCUCCUCUGUAGUUUGCUGGUCUCCUCUGGUCUCUGUAGUUGACUGGUCUCCUCUGGUCUCCUCUGUAGUUGACUGGUCUCCUCUGGUCUCCUCUGUAGUUUGCUGGUCUCCUCUGGUCUCUGUAGUUGACUGGUCUCCUCUGUAGUUGACUGGUCUCCUCUGUAGUUGACUGAUCUCCUCUGGUCUCCUCUGUAUUUUACUGGUCUCCUCUGUAGUUGACUGGUCUCCUCUGGUCUCUUCUGUAGUUGACUUGUCUCCUCUGUAGUUGACUGGUCUCCUCUGGUCUCCUCUAUAUUUGACUGGUCUCCUCUGAUCUCCACUGUAGUUGACUGGUCUCCUCUGGUCUCUGUAGUUGACUGGUCUCCUCUGGUGUCCUCUGUAGUUGACUGGUCUCCUCUGUAGUUUACUGGUCUCCUCUGUAGUUGACUGGUCUCCUCUGGUCUCUGUAGUUGACUGGUCUCCUCUGUAGGUGACUGGUCUCCUCUGUAGUUGACUGGUCUCCUCUGUUCUCCUCUGCAGUUGACUGGUCUCCUCUGUAGUUGACUGGUCUCCUCUGGUCUCUGUAGUUGACUGGUCUCCUCUGUAGUUGACUGGUCUUCUCUGUAGUUGACUGGUAUCCUCUGGUCUCCUCUGUAGUUGACUGGUCUCCUCUGUAGUUGACUGGUCUCCUCUGGUCUCCUCUGUAGUUGACUGGUCUCCUCUGGUCUCCUCUGUAGUUGACUGGUCUCCUCUGGUCUCCUCUGUAGUUGACUGGUCUCCUCUGGUCUCCUCUAUAGUUGACUGGUCUCCUCUGGUCUCUGUAGUUGACUGGUCUCCUCUG